RNAcentral lists this long non-coding RNA (2279 nucleotides) under Nicotiana tabacum (common tobacco). RNAcentral describes it as "long non-coding RNA (NTAB_LNC017432)". Lineage: Eukaryota; Viridiplantae; Streptophyta; Magnoliopsida; Solanales; Solanaceae. The record is from RNAcentral.
AAAAAUCCAAAAUACAACUACUGGGAAGAUAAAGAAAAAGAAAGCAGGACUGCGGUCGCCAGGCAGCUACCUUACUAUCUCCAGUGAUCAGCAACAGAAAAUAUCAACAGCCGCUACCAUGUCCAAAGAUACCUGGAUCUGCACACAAGGUGCAGGGGAUAACGUGAGUGCACCAACUAGUAAGUAACAAGUCCAAACUAUGGACUGACAGGUAGUGAAAAACUUAACCUCAAUAGGUAAACAGAAGUAAACUGUGCAGAAAAGAAGGCAUGCUUUCAAUUCAAGUAUUCAGCUCAAGCAGUAAAGUAAAUACAAAUCUAGACAAUGUGAGGUAUAAAGCCCAACUAAUUUCUACGUGCCAAUGCACAGAAUGUAUGAAAAUACACCAUGUACCUCCACUCUCAAGUGCUCAACCACUCGGUGUCACACCUCCUUUUUACUACCCCACAGAGGGGUAUAUAAGGGAGUUUUUUCAAUUUAAGUGACAAUCGAAACGAAAUUUAUUUAUUUAUUCAGAGUCGCCACUUGGGAUAGUUAAUGGUGUCCCAAGUCAUCGGUUUUAAAUCCCAAAUAGAGGAAAGAUUAACUCUGUUCUAUAGUCCGCGAACACAGAAAUCCGGGUAAGGAAUUCUGUUAACCCGGGAGAAGGUGUUAGGCAUUCCCGAGUUCCGUGGUUCUAGCACGGUCGCUCAACUGUUAUUAUUAGCUUAAUUAUCUGACUUAUUACAUAUUUAAAACCUAUUGUGCAUUUUUAACUUACAACCGCUUUUAAUUAUUUAUGAAUUUGUUUUAACAAGGCGUGAUUGUCGCGCACUCGUUUGUUUGCAUACACAUUGCAAAUUCUGUCACGGGAACCGUACCCACGAUCUACAACAUGCUUAUUUUAUUAUUGUUCGGAGUUGGGGGAUCGAGUCAUGCCAGCGUACACUCAGAUUUUGGGGUUAAGUAUCAUGACUAUGUCACGUGAACCGUACACAUAGUCACGAUUAUUACUAACGCGCUUAAAUCAAACUACGAUUUUCAUAAUUUUCCUAAACUAAUUUGGGAUUAUUGUGAGGCCAAGAGUUAUAGAAGUUAUUGUAGAAAGAGGGUAGUGUUUAGUUAUUGAAAUUAUCUAUUAUGGAACAAUCUUUAUUAAUUAAAAAGAUAUACUAGCUGAAAUAUUAUUGAUCUUGAGUUAACUAGAAUUAAAUUUGUUGGCCCAAUUGCUUCUCAGUUCUUAUAUUUGUACUACGGACCAACAUUGAAGUAAGGCUAAAAGCAGUAAACAUUAUUUUUAAAUUCAAAUUCUUUCCCCAUAGACAAAAUCCUUAGUCUAAAUAUUUGUACUUGUUAUCAGAUAGGAGAAAAUCAACUAUGCUAAGAAAAGAACGAUGAUAUGACCCAACAACUAAAUUGCACCAAUUAGUUCUACUUACUCAGAUUUGAUUUAUGAUAAAGAACAUGGACAAAAUAUGUAUGAAAUCUAAAACUCUAAUAAGGUGAAUUCAACAGGAACAAAGAAUUAUCCAUUCACACAAUUAACAAGAGGUACAAUGAGGAUAUGAACAUAUAAACACUCAAGAGUCAAAAAAUCCAAUCAUCAACAAAACGAACUACUACCUCAUGUCACACAAUAAUUACAUUAACAAAUAAUAAUGUAAAUGGACAAAAUAAUCAGUCGAAAAUAUACGUGAACGGACCUUUGGUAUAAAUCGACCAAAUUGGAAUUACAAGAGGUUAAAUAACUCGACGACUCUUGACCGGAGCUUUCGCCUAUGAACCCGGAUGGAACUGGCUACUGAAGACCUCAACGGCAACAACGACAGUACCUCAGAACGCAACUAAACGGAUACUCGUACAACAACUUUCCUGGAUCUGUCCAUUUUUCUCUAAUGCGAACAAUUUUUAACAAAAAACUUUGCCGGAUAAACUCGAACCUCUUUAACCCAACUCGAAAUUCUAGCUAAACCAUGGGGUGUUCAAGCUUGAAAGAACUCUUGGCCAUGACAAGACUCAGACUUUGAUAUUACCAAAACAGAAGAAAAUCAAAGAAUUAAAGAGGGGUUGUGAUCGAUUUGGAUGUUUUUACAAAAGAAAAAGGGUGCGCCUUUGAAAGAAUAAGAACUAAUGACUUUGAACGAAUUCUCACUAUUUAAAUGGAAAAGUGAAAAGAGUUUGUUCUGCUACCCGGAAUCAAUUGGAGAAAGUUUGGAUUUACAAGGAAACUACAAGUAUUUGCUUAGUUUCGUACUCUGUUUUUUUGAGAAUUGGAGACGAUGGUCUUCUUUUCCUUUUUU